Mesocricetus auratus (golden hamster) is the source of this 458-nucleotide long non-coding RNA. RefSeq lists it as uncharacterized. The transcript is spliced from 3 exons. The record is from RefSeq and is a predicted model, not a curated record. Lineage: Eukaryota; Metazoa; Chordata; Mammalia; Rodentia; Cricetidae.
GCCUGCGGAGCCCGCCCCUGACGUCACAGAGGAAUGCGCCGCUUCGGGAUUGGGCGGGCUGGCCUGUCAAUCAAGCGCGGCGCUGAGUGUGCCGUGAGCUGAGACUGCGCGGCGGCGCUCAGACAGGAGACGGACACCCCCCAGUGGUUGAAUCUACAGCAGCAGCUUGCUAUAUAGCAGAGAUCGAACCAGGGCCUCAUGUAUGACAAGCUAAGGAAAACCAAGGCUCACAACUUAUAAUCAGCACUCUCCAUUCCAGCAAAGUGCAUUUCUAAUCUCUGAAGAGUAGUUUUAUCAAUUUACAUAAACUAUGCCAUUCUCAGGUGACACAUACUUGUCAUCUAACACUUACUUUCCUGAAAGAAAAAAAUUAAGCAAAAUCAAUUUGCAGCAAAAUCAGCACUUUUAGAUUCAGCCUGCUGAUGAUUAUAAAGGAUAAAGGGGGACAUGGCUAGAAA